Molecule: non-coding RNA, 522 nt
Organism: Peromyscus maniculatus bairdii (prairie deer mouse)
Lineage: Eukaryota; Metazoa; Chordata; Mammalia; Rodentia; Cricetidae
Source: RefSeq, a predicted model, not a curated record
CAAGCCCUCACCUCCUAAUGGUUCUGAACCCUUCCAGCGCAGGGCCACCAGCUGGGAACCAUGUCUCUAAACACACAGGCCUUUGGGGAACACUUCCUAUUUAAACCAUAGUAGUUAUUAUAUUAUACUCAUUUCCCCAUCGGAGGAAACAAAUUUAUGUCGUGAAGUUCAUCGGGGCUUUAGAACUGCAGGAAGCUGGACAUGUUGGUACAUACAGCAAUCCCAGCACUCAGCGGGAUGGCUGCAAAUUGGAGGUCAGCUGCAGCUGACAGUGAGGACAAAGCCAGUCAGUGUACAACCCGUAUCAAUCAAGAUGAGCAUCAUUUUACUAUGCUCAUCAUUCAAAGCCCCUUGUGUGGCUUUGUCCACAUAAAAUAAGGCCAGGUGAGUUGCCCCUUCACAGGAAGAGACCCACGGAGGAAACAACGCUUUUAAUUACGUCACUGUUACAAUGUAUAACCCGUCCUGAGUUUCCCUUCCUUGUCCCUUGUACUGAUUAGCUAUAUUGUAUAUAGGACCAGA